This 63-nucleotide transfer RNA is filed under the name Ptilodactylidae sp. 2 ACP-2013. Its description in RNAcentral is "tRNA-Glu". The record is from RNAcentral. Lineage: Eukaryota; Metazoa; Arthropoda; Insecta; Coleoptera; Ptilodactylidae.
UAUUUAUAUAGUUUAUUAAAACAUUACAUUUUCACUGUAAAAUUGAGAUUAAUCUCUUUAAAU